RNAcentral lists this transfer RNA (73 nucleotides) under Sus scrofa (pig). It matches the Rfam family "tRNA". From Rfam's summary of the family: Transfer RNA (tRNA) molecules are approximately 80 nucleotides in length. Their secondary structure includes four short double-helical elements and three loops (D, anti-codon, and T loops). Further hydrogen bonds mediate the characteristic L-shaped molecular structure. tRNAs have two regions of fundamental functional importance: the anti-codon, which is responsible for specific mRNA codon recognition, and the 3' end, to which the tRNAs corresponding amino acid is attached (by aminoacyl-tRNA synthetases). tRNAs cope with the degeneracy of the genetic code in two manners: having more than one tRNA (with a specific anti-codon) for a particular amino acid; and 'wobble' base-pairing, i.e. permitting non-standard base-pairing at the 3rd anti-codon position. Lineage: Eukaryota; Metazoa; Chordata; Mammalia; Artiodactyla; Suidae. The record is from Rfam by way of RNAcentral.
UCCCUGGUGGCUCAAAAGGUUAGGAGCCAAUACUGUCACUGCUGUGGCGUGGGUUCAAUCCCUGGCCAGGGAA